Long non-coding RNA from Cottoperca gobio, 4116 nucleotides. Ensembl lists it as uncharacterized. NCBI's taxonomy places the organism in Eukaryota, Metazoa, Chordata, Actinopteri, Perciformes, Bovichtidae. The record is from Ensembl.
CUAACUAAGUUACGUUAUCAAAUAAUUGUAUGGGAGUAAAAAGUACAAUAUUUGUUUCCAAAAUUAAGUAUAUAUGCUGAAUAUAUGUUUUACAAGACAUACAAGCAUACAUUCAGAGGGAAAAGUCGCGUCAACAACGCGUCAUAUUACGUAACAGGAGGGAGUUGUUCGUGCCUCAGAGCCAUGCGUGGUUGGUGGUUGUAAAUGUGGUCUUUAGUAAGUGAAUUGAUAUUUUUUCUUGUAGUUUCACGUUGAAUUUCACCAUGGUGAAAUACUGUGUGUGUGCGGGUUGUGCAAACUGCAGCCUGACCGGACACCGGGUCCACUGUUUCCCUAACGGGAAGAACGGAGCUGCCUUUCGUGCCUGGGUGCGUUUUGUGCAGACGAAGAAGGCGGACUUCAACACUGCAUGUGUAACGAAAGACACGGUGGUGUGCGGCGCUCAUUUUACACAGGAAGAUUAUAAUACAGGAGACAUGAUGGAGUUCAGGAUGGGAUUUCGUUGUCAGGACCGUGUGAGGCUGAAAGCUGAUGCGGUUCCUUCAAUACACGCAGACGCUUUCUCAGCUCCGCCAACAACAACAGCCGGCGGAAGUGAUGUUAUCCAGGGGUGGGUCCGGGAGUCCGAGUCUGUCCGGGAGUCCGAGUCCGUCCGGGAGUCCGCUCGACGGGAACUGUGCGCCCUACGAGCCGACACCCCAACAAUUGUAAAAGUGGAAAACUGUGAAGAAAUACGUUCAGGAACUCCUGAACAAACUGUAAAGAAGCUACAGCUACUUAAACACAGUUCACCAAAUGAAGUUAACCAGGAAACUUGCGCUGCUCCUUCUGUCCAGUCAUCUGAAAAUGGAAAGGAGUCAGGGAAAAUAGAUGUUGCCCGUCAAAGACUGAAAAGUGAAGACGAGCGAACAACCAACCAGUCAGAAAAUAAAGAAAAUAGAGAUAUUCAAGAAGAUGAAGAAUUCAUCACCUCGUUAAGUGUGGGAGACGGACGCUACCUGGUGGAUCUGGGGAGCUCGUCAGAGUUCAUCGUUGAUGAAGAGUGCAUCCUUCAGCUGUUCAAGUCAUGCCGGGAAUGCAACAGACAGUGCAAAGUUAGAAAACGAGUCAAAGGACUAAAGCUCGUGAUAAACCAGGCGUGCUGUUUCUGUCAAAGCCGCUCUAAUGGACUAACCUGUCAGACGACGACAACGACGACGAUUUCCAGAUGAAUGGAAAAGAUACAGCACAUGUUCAGACUAACUCUGCAAAGCCGUGAUGCAAGUUGAGUGUCAUGUGACAGUUGUUGUACCAAGAUUACCUUGAACCAGGAAUAUGUUAGUUUUUUUCUUUCUCAACCUGUAACACAGUGAACUGAACUGCUGGACUGUCACUUCCCUGUGAUCAACUCCCCUUUAUGUUUUUACCAUUAUUUCCUCAAUGAACCAUCUAAUGCAAGUAAGAGGGUGGAUGCCUCAGCUUGCUGCAUCUGUCUGAUAAUAAAUAACCAAAAAAUUAAAUGAUCAUUUAAAAAAAUUAAUGAAACUAAAAAGAAGAAAUAAGGGCAUUAAAAGAUACAUCAUUUAAAACAAAUGUAUUUUUCAUUAUUUAUCAAUGUUUUCACAUUGAUGUAUUAAUUUUUUCCUUAAAAUAUUCGAGUACCUACUGUGCAGAGCUUGUACUUUCAUCUGUCAUGAGUCACAUGUCGCCUUAUUGCUGCCUUGAGGUGUAACUUUACCCAAGUACUGUAGUGGAGUAAGUGGAAGUACCUCUACUUUACGUGAGUAUUUCCUCAUUAUUCUACCAGAUGAAACCAGAGUGCAGGAGGACUGCUCACUGAGGCUGCCGGUGAUCAUGAGAUGGAGCAGUUAUAAAAAUACAACGUAAAAUGAUUAUUUUGGACGGCAGCAGUUUGAAAAAAAAAAAGUUAUUCAUUGUAAAUCAGUUAAUGUGUGUUUGGCACAAAGAUUAUUUUGUUCCCUCCGCACAAAAUAAGAAACGUCACAGAGCCUUCACCACUGAGUGUUAUUACUUAGGAUUUGUGUUCAUUGUCCCAGGACACUAUGGUCCUCUCUGCAACGGGCAUUUGUUUGUUUAAAAACGUUUUGAUUGUAUAUACGGUCUGUUAGUCACCCAGCUUUGCAGUUCUCAGGACACGUGCACACACACUUUAUUUUUUAUCCGAAGCCGCUACAUACAGUCCACUUUGUUUUCUUAUUAGGUCAUCAAAGUUGAAAUGUGGUAUUCUGUCAUUGAUUUUGGGCGUUGUCUGUCCACUUGACCUACUGCCUAAUUUGUUCCCACUCUCCCUUUCCGUCGUGACUAUUACACUGACCAAAAAUAUAAACGCUCCCAUUUUUCAUGAGCUGAAAUCCAAGAUUUAUGACUAUGUACACAAAAGGCCUAUUUCUCUCAAAUAUUGUUCACGGCACUUCUCCUUUGCCAAGAUAAUCCAUCCACCUCACAGGUGUGGCAUAUCAAGAAGCUGAUUAGACAGCAUGAUUAUUGCACAGGUGUGCCUUAGGCUGGUCACAAUAAAAUAAAUCGGAGUGCAGAAUCUCUUCUGAUCUCUUGCAGCUGAUUAAUAAUAGUUGUACUUGUAUAACCUGUAUUGACACAAUUUGUCACUAGUAGAGUUUUUUACACACACACACACACACACACACACACACACCCACCAAGCUUAAACACUCAACAUGAGCAAAAAUGGAUAAACAGUUACAGUAUCUCUGUCCACAUACAUAAUAGAUUCUAAAUACCUUGUUUUAUCAUUUAUCGCCCAACUGCAGUCAACCUGAAACUAGCAUUCAGUUAAUACAGUAUAACUAAAUGUAAUGUACCUCUCCAUAUAAGACUUAAGUUGAUCACACUUUUUGAAAUUAAAUUUCAGCCGUGAUAUUUUUUUUGUCACAUCACAGAUGGAACCGCCUCGUUACAGGAUUUGUUCAAUGACUUUAUGUUUUUGAUACUUUGGUCAAGUGUAUUAGGAUCGACCUCAAAACCUCAAUAAAACACAAACAGUAACCUACACCUCAUGCAGACAACGCAAACUUUUAACUGUGACCCAUUCCAGCCAGAAGACAUGAGUGAGUCGACACAUUUAAUGGAUGAUGAUAAUGAUGACGGGACAUUUGUGUGCUCAGUAGAUACAGUAUCAGUGUUUUAACAUUGCAAACUCUUUGUAUUGGUUUAAAACUACCAUAUCUUUAGUUCUGGCUGAGAGUUAAAGACAAUCACAAUGGAGCAGAGGAAAAAGGACAGUCAUGAAAGACUGAUUAUCAUUGCUCCUGGUGAUCAGAGAGCACAACACCAGGUUAAUUAAAAAUAAAUAAUCCACUGCCAUGGUUAAUUCAUUACAAAAGGAAGACAUCACACAAAUAAGUGAGAAAGAUGGGAGUUAAAAAUCUGUCAGUGUGGGACAUUCAUACUUAUUGGCUUGCAUCGGUGGUCCUUAUUUGGCAAGAGGAAGAACAUUUGAACUAGUUUGCUACAAUAUCAGCACACAGGACUGCACAGUGAGGGAGCCAUUUUAAAACAUUCUUAGUUAUUAAGUAUUAAAAACCAUGGAAGACGAGGACUUGGUCCAAGGUGUCGGUAAGUUCAGCUGAGGUGAAAGGAAGUUAGCUGAAUUAGCUAGUAGCUACAUUUUGUCGGAGUGUGUUAAUAAUCAUCAGGACUUGUUCUUACAAUGUGAAUUUCCUCUUCUGUGCAAAUCUCUAAAGGAAGAUGCAGAUGUACUGUUCAGCAGUCAGAAAGUCGUACCCUUAGUUGUGGAAGGCAGAAAAAGUAUUUUGAAGCAUGUUCCUCUGAUUUAAAUCCAGCCUUGAUUAAGAGGAGCUUAAAACAGCCCUGUGUCCCACUUCCCUGCUCAGUGCAGGUAGCUAGUGUUGUACUGGAAGGAAGCCAUAUGGACCCGAUUGCGCAGCCUCUGGACCUCCAGAUCCUGGAAAUGGUCUUCCUCAUCGUUCUGGAUGAUGAUCUUCUGUAGUUCACCAAUCUCACGCUCCAUUCUCGAACGCAGCUCUCGCUUCAUCUUCAGCAGAGCCUGCAAAACAAAUGUAAAAUGGUUUUUACAGGGAAAAGUAAAUAAUCUUGACAUAAUCUUGCUUCAAAGCCAUGGCAAUCGCAAAAAGUAAG